Molecule: long non-coding RNA, 724 nt
Organism: Suricata suricatta (meerkat)
Lineage: Eukaryota; Metazoa; Chordata; Mammalia; Carnivora; Herpestidae
Exons: 4
Source: RefSeq, a predicted model, not a curated record
CGCGCGCGCGCAAGCACACCCUGAUCCCAGUUCCUCACAGUUCCCCCACCCUCCAACCCCAGGAAGUAGGUUUCUCAACCAACAAGGCCAGGUAUGAGUCACAGGCAAUUCCAUUUUGUUUGGGGGCAUAAGACCGCCCUCUUAUUUUUGAGGCCAAGAGGAGUUGCUGAGAAGGAGAGGAGGUUCUGGCCCACGGGGAAAUUCCCACAUCUGUACCGUGGCUUGGAAGGUCCUUGGUCCCUUUGCCCAUCUUUCUCCAGGGCCCAGCUCAGACUAAUCAAAGAAUUGGGGAAGGAGUCUUCUCUUCAUAAAGCAUCAUGGUGACUACCCAUUGUCCUUGAAAGGGACAGAGAGGAGAGAGACAAACCAAGCAAAGCCAACAGACUUUGAGAACAUCCCUAGCUGCCUGCCACCCCUCCAUCCAGUCCUCUAGAUGGAAAUGUGCUGUUUCUCUGGAAGACUGCGGAAGCCCCAGAUGCAUUUGGCAUGCAAAGCGAAAUCAGCAGAACAGCAGGUUUCGACUAGAAGAGCCAGUUCCGUUCCGCUGGAAGAAAGAGGAUGCAGAAUGUGGUUUUUCAGUUCCUGGGGCCUCGGGAGCUCCAAAACUCCCUCCGUCCCUGCCUUGCUGCACCGCUGUUAAUUGUGAAGAAAAAUCUGCCUUCUUCUGUAUUGCGCUGAGGCUGCUGUGGCCUCAGUUUCCUUGUCAGUGAAAUGGAAAACGUAA